UACGUAGGGGGCUAGCGUUAUCAGGAAUUACUGGGCGUAAAGGGAGCGCAGGCGGACAAGUCAGUCUAAAGUGAAAUUCCGGGGCUCAACCUCGGACUUGCUUCGGAUACUACUUGUCUUGAGUUCGUGAUAGGAAGACGGAAUUCAGGGUGUAGCGGUGAAAUGCACAGAUAUCCUGAGGAACACCGGUGGCGAAAGCGGUCUUCUGGCGCGAAACUGACGCUGAGGCUCGAAAGCGUGGGUAGCAAACGGGAUUAGAUACCCGUGUAGUCCCUGA
This 277-nucleotide ribosomal RNA is filed under the name uncultured prokaryote. RNAcentral describes it as "partial 16S ribosomal RNA". It matches the Rfam family "Bacterial small subunit ribosomal RNA", at positions 524 to 800 of the family's 1533-position model. The record is from RNAcentral.